UAUGGCCAUACCACCCUGAACGAGACGAUCUCGUCUGAUCUCGGAAGCUAAGCUGGGUCGGGCCUGGUUAGUACUUGGAUGGGAGAAUGCCGGGGGACUCAGGCAGGACCCACUG
This 115-nucleotide ribosomal RNA is filed under the name Microcebus murinus (gray mouse lemur). The record is from RNAcentral. Lineage: Eukaryota; Metazoa; Chordata; Mammalia; Primates; Cheirogaleidae.